This is a long non-coding RNA of Oncorhynchus kisutch (coho salmon), 472 nucleotides long. RefSeq lists it as uncharacterized. Lineage: Eukaryota; Metazoa; Chordata; Actinopteri; Salmoniformes; Salmonidae. The record is from RefSeq and is a predicted model, not a curated record. The transcript is spliced from 4 exons.
UCAACUGUAAGAGGUGGGGCAGAAAGAGUAUAAGACAGGACUGCAAGGGGCAGAGAGACACUCGUCUUCUACUGAGGUCCAGAAGACAUCAAGACAACCAGGUAUCAAUCAGUCAGCAUAUUCCAACUAUCAGAGUAAAGGAUGAAGAUCCAGAGUAUGUUACUGCUGUUCGCUCUAGUGGGUGUCCUUUUAGCAAGCUCCCUCAAUGAAGAUAACGCUAAGGAAGAGGAUAGUGCCAUGGAGAAGGUGGAGAAUGGACUUGUGAAUGCCAUUGCAGAAGAUGAAGCACAACCAUCAUGGUUCAGACAUCAUCAUGGAUGAUGAGGUACCAGAAUGGGGUCACGGACGAUUCUUUACUGGUCUCCAUAUGGAAUCAACAUAACUAACAUUACUCUACAAAGCCCCCCAUUCAUCCAUUCAUGAUGGCAAUGUUGUAUUGUGAUCCUCCAAUAAAAUCGGCCUUUCACACAUA